Molecule: long non-coding RNA, 1481 nt
Organism: Strongylocentrotus purpuratus (purple sea urchin)
Lineage: Eukaryota; Metazoa; Echinodermata; Echinoidea; Camarodonta; Strongylocentrotidae
Exons: 15
Source: RefSeq, a predicted model, not a curated record
UUCACCAUCCUUCUUUCGUCGUGGCUCUCCUCACCAGAAGACAGAUGGCUACUAAGACAAGGAUACAUUGUGAAGCAGAACCAAGAUGUUUGCCUACUUGGCAUAUAGUGACCUUUGGCCCCCUUCAUGAUCCAAGCGAUGAGAUGCAAGCAAUCAUCGUCUGGGAUAUCAAGACGGCAGGGAGUCGAGAAGAAAGGUUUCUUGUGCGAUAAUGCCCUCUAAUUGGCCAGUGUUCAAGCACAUAGUGAGUGACCUCUGGCGACCUUCAUGAUACAAGUGAUGAGAUGCAAGCAAUCAUCGUCUGGGAUAGCAAGGCCAGUGUUCCAACUUCCAGUAUUGGAGAUAUCUUUUUCCUUCAUCUGAUUUUCCUUCGGGAGAACUCCUUGUGAGGGAAGAAAUGCUUUCCGAUAGAGCAAACAGAUGCAGUGGGACUGGUCACAGUACAGGUCUAUAUGGCAAUCCUUUACAACUUUGUGACAUUGGUAACCUGGCAGAGAUGAGAGAUAAGACGUGGUAUUCUUCCAUCCGAUGCAGACUCUGGAGAACUGAUGGGACUGUCAGUUUCCUGCUCCUUGUCCUGUUCAUGCUGUGUGAUAUUUGUAACCUGCCGGAGAUGAGAGAUAAGGCGUGGUAUUCUGCCAUUCGAUGCAGACUGGAGAUUUGAUGGGCCUGUCAGUUCCUGAUUUCUCAUCCUGUUCAUGUGUUCUUCACAUCAGAAAUCAUCAUCAGUGCUGGCCGAAAUAGCUUCCAGCAUAGGAGAUUUGUGAUGAAAUUGCUGUUGGGAGAUGGAGGCACCUCGUUUUGACGAGACUGGUGUAGGAAAUCAGAGAGAUGUCCCUCUUAGAGUAGUGAUCUCUUGGCCCUCUGCAGUAGCCCAAAUGGAUAGUCCACUUCACGGCUGUAAGAUUCUCGCUGCCUACAUGUGGAGUCUUCUGGACAUAUUGAGGAGCAUUCCUUCUAGUUGCCCCAUUUUUCCAUUUUGGAUUAGUAACCUCUUCAAGAUUCCUUUCAGACCCCAUCAUGAAAUACUGAGGUAUGCCGUCACUCGUUGCUGGUAUGAUCUAGAAUGAAAUUGGAGCCAGAUGAUCAGUUUCUGAAGGCCACUUUCACAAAGGGAUUUUACCCGACUCUUUUGACAUCUGUUCAUGUUGAGGGAAAUGAGAUGUCCUAUACUACAAAGGAGCCCUGAAGACUCGUUCUUGACAUGAAAGUACAACUGGAAUUGCACAAAUGGUUGUGUAGUCUAUGGAAUCUGCCACACGCCUACGCUAUCUCUUAUACUAGAUGGCACUACACGAAUUAAAAGAUGUCUUCUAUGAUUCUAGGAUUAAAAAUCUGAAGAAAAAAGUUACAUAUUACUGUGGAGUGAUUUUAGCAAAGUCCUUCCUUCGUGAGAAGGGGGGGGGGGGGGAAUACAUUCUUAGAUGCCAUUGACACUCCUGUACGGAAAGUGCCCAAAAUAUUUUAUUACAGAAACAAAA